Oncorhynchus masou masou (cherry salmon) is the source of this 2501-nucleotide long non-coding RNA. RefSeq lists it as uncharacterized. Lineage: Eukaryota; Metazoa; Chordata; Actinopteri; Salmoniformes; Salmonidae. The record is from RefSeq and is a predicted model, not a curated record. The transcript is spliced from 2 exons.
GAGAAUAAAUAGGGGGAGAUAAGAUUCAUUGAGGUUUGGAUAGGAGAUAUAUUAAGCCAAUAGGGCAGGAAAUUACAUAGAAAAAUACGUUUCAGUUCUUAGGGGUGGUUAAUUACGGUAGAUAAGGCAUCUCAAACUAUGAAACAUAUAUUCAAUUAUUGAUGUGACUGAUUUUUAAGGUUAACCCAUGUUAUUUUUAGAAAAAAUACAGUGGAUUCCCUAAGGAGAGUUUCAUUAACACUGUAAAGAGAUAGAAUAUGUUUAGCAUUCGUUUUAAUUAAACAUUCAGAACAUUUUUAUUUAAAUAGUAUUAAAGUUUGUUAGGACUUUAGAGAUUGCCACUUAUAAAAUCAAUGAUUUUAGAUAAAGUCAAACAGUGAGACGCUUAGCACAAAUACUUCUUAAACUAGAUAAGACAUUUGCCAGAGAAUUGAAACAGGAUUGAUAUGAAUGGAUGCCCAAGGGAAAAUUGGACAUACAUGAUAAUGUAAGAAUAUAAGGAUAAUUUACAAAUCCUACCUAAGUCAUUAUUUAGGGUAUAUAAGGUUGUUACCUGGGCAGAGUCAGGUAUCAAAAGGGGGAUGGGUAAGUUAGUGGCCUAUUGGAUAAUAAACUAAUAAUAAAAAUAAUAAAAAAAUGUUUAGCUAACAAAUAGGCAUAGAAGUUAAAGAUAUAAUCAGAUAAAACAUGUUAGAAACUGUUAACCAAGCCUGUAUGUCCAGGAUUUUAUGCAUUACAGGUGAACUACAGGUGAAGUCACUCAGUCCAGUCCCUGAGGCUUGUUGGGGGGACCAUACCAAGGACUCCUGGUGACAGCUAGCUGAAAGAGCUACCCGGAUUCAUAUCACACGGCGGGAGGGUUCCUCCCUUUACAGUGACCGGAGGAGAUUAUUACCGUUUGGCCCGGUACACUACUCUUGGGAAAUGAUGUCAGGGCGAGGUUUUACCGGCAGAUUGGACAGCAUUAUGCUCCCUUGUACAUUUGGGAAUGCCUUUCACACUCAUUCAACACCAAGACAUGAAGUUUAGCCAAACGGGCGAAAAGUGCUACUCCAUCUGGGUCUUUUGAUGACAAAGUAUACAUUGAUAACAUUGGGGUUUCCACGGGGGGUGCCAGAUGAGUUCAAAGCAAGAAAUCAGAUCCUAGCAGGAUUAGAGUUAAGCAUUUCCGGGUGGUCUACUCUCAAUAAGAACGUGGACUGGAUUAAUUAUAUGGAUUAUAAUCAACAGCGUUUUACCAAUUGUACCAGAGAUGCUUCUAAAGGUUUGGCAGAACAGACUGAAUCAACCAGCCCGAUGGCUUGGCAGAAUAUAAUUGCAUUAGAUAUGUUAUCGGCUGAAAAGGGAGGAGUAUGCGUGAUUUUUGGGACCAUGUUUGUGCUUACAUCCCAAAUAACACUGCUCCGGACGAAUCAGUGACCGAAGCCUCAGCCACCCUGGCUCACGGUUUGGCAGAAAACUCUGGGGUGGAUACUUUUCUGACUAAUUGGUUUGAUAGUACGUUUGGAAAAUGUAAAAAUAUUAUGAUCACUGUAUUAUGAGCUACAUUCACCUGUGUGACUGUUUUAGUUUUAUGGGGCUGUUUAAUUCCCUGUGUACGCGGUCUUAUUUCCAGGACUCUGGAGAAAUCGAUGAAAAUAGAUGGUGAGGUACGGGCCGAUUCCAGGCUCUGACCUGUGGAGUGCUGAAUGCAUGUCUACAGAACAAGUGGAUCCUUCAUUUGCGGGGAAUUUAUAUUUGAUGAGACCAUUUUUGAUGUUUAGGGAGGUUAGGUUGUAUCUUGUUUCAAUAUUAGACUGUUGUUUUAUGAAGAUGUUAACGAAAAUACUGAUAAGAAGAGUUAUGAUUCUGAUGUAGGCCUAAAAAACAGUCAGUGCGAAUGCCAGUAGUGGGUUAUGUUUAGGUGAUGUUUUGAUGACAAGAAAUAUCUCUAAUAAAAAUAGAAAUAGGCUUUUUAAUAUUACAAUAUAACUACAUGUGUGAUUGGAUGUCUAAUAUUUAAUCAAAGGGUGGAUAUGUUAAGGGAAUUUUUAUCAAUGAUCACUAAUUAUGUAUACAUUUCAAUCAGGACUGACUAAUCAGAAUACUAUUAUGUUACUGUAUAUGUACUAAUCCGAAUACUUUUAUGUUACUGUAUAUGUACUAAUCAGAAUACUAUUAUGUUGCUGAGUUUUCUUUCUUGAUCCCAGUACUGAAUAUAAUGUGUGUGAAUGUGGUCAAGAGGUAGAACAAUGACUGUCUGUUCCUUGGUAGGAAUGAAUGAACGAUAUCUUCAGACUGUCUAGAAUGCUUAUCUAUACCGGAAAAUCUUGGCUCAGUCGUAAAUUAUAUUAAAUUGGUAGUGAGACGGAUGUGGGAAGGCUUGAGAUACAGCCUUUGUACUGUAACGGAGAUGGCACGGGUUGGUGUUGAAACUAAUGAUGUCAUUUUCAGUUUAUAACCUGUGGUAAACUUUAUCGUAUUCAGUACUCUCGUGAAUAAACUCUGGUGAUUGACUUUAA